GAUGAACGCUGGCGGCGUGCCUAAUACAUGCAAGUCGAGCGAACAGACGAGGAGCUUGCUCCUCUGACGUUAGCGGCGGACGGGUGAGUAACACGUGGAUAACCUACCUAUAAGACUGGGAUAACUUCGGGAAACCGGAGCUAAUACCGGAUAAUAUAUUGAACCGCAUGGUUCAAUAGUGAAAGACGGUUUUGCUGUCACUUAUAGAUGGAUCCGCGCCGCAUUAGCUAGUUGGUAAGGUAACGGCUUACCAAGGCAACGAUGCGUAGCCGACCUGAGAGGGUGAUCGGCCACACUGGAACUGAGACACGGUCCAGACUCCUACGGUAGGCAGCAGUAGGGAAUCUUCCGCAAUGGGCGAAAGCCUGACGGAGCAACGCCGCGUGAGUGAUGAAGGUCUUCGGAUCGUAAAACUCUGUUAUUAGGGAAGAACAAAUGUGUAAGUAACUAUGCACGUCUUGACGGUACCUAAUCAGAAAGCCACGGCUAACUACGU
Molecule: ribosomal RNA, 496 nt
Filed under: uncultured bacterium
Lineage: Bacteria
Description: partial 16S ribosomal RNA
Rfam family: Bacterial small subunit ribosomal RNA
Source: RNAcentral